GAUGAACGCUAGCGGGAGGCCUAACACAUGCAAGCCGAGCGGUAUUGUUUCUUCGGAAAUGAGAGAGCGGCGUACGGGUGCGGAACACGUGUGCAACCUGCCUUUAUCUGGGGGAUAGCCUUUCGAAAGGAAGAUUAAUACUCCAUAAUAUAUUGAACGGCAUCGUUUAAUAUUGAAAGCUCCGGCGGAUAGAGAUGGGCACGCGCAAGAUUAGCUAGUUGGUGAGGUAACGGCUCACCAAGGCGAUGAUCUUUAGGGGGCCUGAGAGGGUGAUCCCCCACACUGGUACUGAGACACGGACCAGACUCCUACGGGAGGCAGCAGUGAGGAAUAUUGGUCAAUGGGUGCAAGCCUGAACCAGCCAUCCCGCGUGAAGGACGACUGCCCUAUGGGUUGUAAACUUCUUUUGUAUAGGGAUAAACCUACCCUCGUGAGGGUAGCUGAAGGUACUAUACGAAUAAGCACCGGCUAACUCCGUGCCAGCAGCCGCGGUAAUACGGAGGGUGCAAGCGUUAUCCGGAUUUAUUGGGUUUAAAGGGUCCGUAGGCGGACUUAUAAGUCAGUGGUGAAAGCCUGUCGCUUAACGAUAGAACUGCCAUUGAUACUGUAAGUCUUGAGUAUAUUUGAGGUAGCUGGAAUAAGUAGUGUAGCGGUGAAAUGCAUAGAUAUUACUUAGAACACCAAUUGCGAAGGCAGGUUACCAAGAUAUAACUGACGCUGAGGGACGAAAGCGUGGGGAGCGAACAGGAUUAGAUACCCUGGUAGUCCACGCCGUAAACGAUGCUAACUCGUUUUUGGGCUUUAGGGUUCAGAGACCAAGCGAAAGUGAUAAGUUAGCCACCUGGGGAGUACGCUCGCAAGAGCGAAACUCAAAGGAAUUGACGGGGGCCCGCACAAGCGGUGGAUUAUGUGGUUUAAUUCGAUGAUACGCGAGGAACCUUACCAAGACUUAAAUGGGAAUUGACAGCUUUAGAAAUAGAGCUUUCUUCGGACAAUUUUCAAGGUGCUGCAUGGUUGUCGUCAGCUCGUGCCGUGAGGUGUUAGGUUAAGUCCUGCAACGAGCGCAACCCCUGUUACUAGUUGCCAUCAUUCAGUUGGGGACUCUAGUGAGACUGCCUACGCAAGUAGAGAGGAAGGUGGGGAUGACGUCAAAUCAUCACGGCCCUUACGUCUUGGGCCACACACGUAAUACAAUGGCCGGUACAGAGGGCAGCUACACAGCGAUGUGAUGCAAAUCUCGAAAGCCGGUCUCAGUUCGGAUUGGAGUCUGCAACUCGACUCUAUGAAGCUGGAAUCGCUAGUAAUCGCGCAUCAGCCAUGGCGCGGUGAAUACGUUCCCGGGCCU
RNAcentral lists this ribosomal RNA (1345 nucleotides) under uncultured bacterium. RNAcentral's name for it is "bacterial SSU rRNA". It matches the Rfam family "Bacterial small subunit ribosomal RNA", at positions 28 to 1381 of the family's 1533-position model. The record is from RNAcentral.